Molecule: ribosomal RNA, 522 nt
Filed under: Comamonas sp. BBSPN 153
Lineage: Bacteria; Pseudomonadati; Pseudomonadota; Betaproteobacteria; Burkholderiales; Comamonadaceae
Description: bacterial SSU rRNA
Rfam family: Bacterial small subunit ribosomal RNA
Source: RNAcentral
CCGGAAAAAGAAAAAAAAGGGCUGAAGCUGGCGGCCGCCUUAACAUGCAAGUCGUCAGGUAACAGGUCUUCGGAUGCUGACGAUUCGGCGAACGGGUGAGUAAUACAUCGGAACGUGCCUAGUAGUGGGGGAUAACUACUCGAAAGAGUGGCUAAUACCGCAUGAGAUCUACGGAUGAAAGCAGGGGAGCGCAAGACCUUGUGCUACUAGAGCGGCCGAUGGCAGAUUAGGUAGUUGGUGGGAUAAAAGCUUACCAAGCCGACGAUCUGUAGCUGGUCUGAGAGGACGAUCACCCACACUGGGACUGAGACACGGCCCAGACUCCUACGGGAGGCAGCAGUGGGGAAUUUUGGACAAUGGGCGCAAGCCUGAUCCAGCAAUGCCGCGUGCAGGAUGAAGGCCCUCCCCGUUGUAAACUGCUUUUGUACGGAAAGAAAAGCCCUGGGUUAAUACCCUGGGGUCAUGAAGGGUACCGUAAGAAUAAACCACCGGCUAACUACGUGCCAACCACCCGCGGGUAAA